UAUUUAAAAAUGUGUCCAUAGUGGUGCCGUGUGCUGCUGUGUGAUGUGAUUGAUAUCAGACAGAAUUGAUCAGGAGAGGAACUGCAGACCCGUUCGCGUCUCUUUAUCCCUCAAUCAUUUCCUGAGGUUGAUACGAACGUGCCGACCAGCUGACGUUAAACAGCAAACAGCCAUUCUCUGAUCUGCCAGACUGCGCAGACUUUUGGAGCUCUCAUUGGAUCUUUCUUGAGGGAGCCUUGCGUUAAGAACAGAACCAGUGUGGUUUUCUGAAAAUGGCCGCUUUUGUCUUCAAACACACGACAACGGCUAGAGCCAAGGGGAAAUUCCUGCACAGCGUCUCCGAGAAUAAAAGACGUUCUCCUCAUUAACUCCACAAAAGCAGCGCGAGAGAAAGAAGUGAAGGAACGUCCCCGUGAUGAAUUACAUAAUGCGGCGCUCAGAGAGCUAAUCCUGAGCAGCGUUGCGUAAUGCUGGAGAUGGAUGUGGAAGGCCCCGGGGCCUCGGCAUUAUUUCGACUUAAGACAAACUGCUUCGUCCGGCGCCAAACAUGAGCAGCUGUUAAAAGUAUUACAUAAAAAGUGAUAAUUGCUACUCGCCGGGCUUGUUCUUUGUGCGAGUCUUCUUCUGCACUCCUUGAACUCGUGCGAUGACUGCUCAGCAAACUGCACUGGACAGCUGCUGACGUGAAGAGUCCACGAGUUUUGAACUUUUGCUUCUCCGAGGGAAUCUGGAGCCUUAACUGAAGGAAUGUGAAGAAGUCCGACUACGCUGCAGUGAGCAAGUAUUUACCUCUUACAGAUUUGUUAUGUUUUUACUUCUUCGUCUCAAUGAAACCUUUCUGGCCGGAGCAGACUGGGGUGUGAAAGCCCAGCACCUUGGACAGAUGUUGUGAAUACUCUACUGUCCAUGAUUAUUAGCAUGCCAUCAGCUAAUAACUCUCUACAGCCCACCGUUGCCACUAGGCAACAGAAGGUUUCCCAGAACAUUUGAACUUACCAACAAGUCAUAGAGGAUAAAAAGUUUCCAAUUCCAGUCCAAUAAAAUGUAGGAGCCAGAUUCAAACACAAUUUGAAGGCGGAACAUUAUUGGAGGACUGCAAAGUGUGAGAAAAAGUCUGCAGCGUUCCCAUGUGAGUCCAGGCUCCCCCGUCUGCUGGCGCUCCCCUCCCUGAUGCCAUCAGGGACCGCAGCACCCAUCCCGGUCUCUGCAGAGAGUCGCACAACGCCACCGCGCACACACGCGCAAAGAAGAACACACGCCAAGCAGAACGCGCACGCAGCGAGCGACGCAAUACCCCGGCAGGAACCGAACUCAAACAUGGGCGUGGAGGGAACCUGAGCCAUCUGUUUCUAUUAGAACCGGGUGAAAAUACGACAGUUUUCACAGCCAAGUGCACACAUUUCCAUCUCUGCGCUACUGCAGAAGUUCUUUUGUAUGCACAGUUUCUUGUCCUGCGCAGGUAAUUACAAAUUCCUGGGAGACAUUUACACAGACUUAUCAUAGGGGUAAAUAGAAACAAACGACUUUUGGGCUUUGAUUUGUUUGAGCUGAUUCAUUUUCAUGGUGGAAUGAUCAUGCAACAAAUAGCUUCAGUCAUUUUUGCAAAAAAGAAAGAAAAAAAGUAGCAGCUGCACAAUUUUGGAUUGAAUGUAGAUUUUCUCUAAACAACAAAUAGAAUUAAAAACAUACUUGCUCAAAUUUAUACAUACACCUCCCCAUUAUGAGCUUCACAGCUUAGACAAGACAAGUUUAUCUAUUUAACACGUUUAAGCAACAAAGCAGUUAAAAAGUGCCUGACAAAAUGAAGACAGAACAACUAACCAACAAAAAAAUCACAGUGGCACAUUAAAGGAAAUGAUUCAUAGUCAUCUGGAACAUUUUUGUAAUUGAUCUUUUUCUAAUCUAUUUGAACUGGCAGGAACAUGUUGAUUUUAAAUAGGAGGGGCCCCAAGAUGGAUCCCAAAUAAAAAUGUUGAUAAGGAGUUAACAGAGGAGCCAUGUUGUGAUGACUUCCUGAA
Molecule: non-coding RNA, 2018 nt
Organism: Poecilia reticulata (guppy)
Lineage: Eukaryota; Metazoa; Chordata; Actinopteri; Cyprinodontiformes; Poeciliidae
Source: RefSeq, a predicted model, not a curated record